GUAGGUGAACCUGCGGAAGGAUCAUUAUCACGUAUCCACGUUAUAAACCAAUUCGUGAACUGUUUUACUCACCUUUGGGCUAUGGCCGCUGUCGAUUGACACAUGGGUUCAUUGUAUGAUUAUGAACUCGUCAAUUGGCAAUUAAGGCUGUUUCUCCGAAGCGUAUUUAAUCAUACUUUUAAACAUUAACCACUUGAACACUAUGAAAUUUUCUUUGUUUGAACUGAUUUGUUUCUUACUCAGUGGCGCA
Molecule: unclassified non-coding RNA, 250 nt
Filed under: plant metagenome
Description: partial contains small subunit ribosomal RNA, internal transcribed spacer 1, and 5.8S ribosomal RNA
Source: RNAcentral